AGAGUCGAUUGGACAGUCGCUGCCUCUUGCUGUUUACAGCAAGGGGGGGAGGAAAGUCCGGGCUCCAUAGGGCAGAGUGCCAGGUAACACCUGGGAGGCGUGAGCCUACGGAAAGUGCCACAGAAAAUAACCGCCUAAGCGCUUCGGCGCCGGUAAGGGUGAAAAGGUGCGGUAAGAGCGCACCGC
Molecule: RNase P RNA, 186 nt
Filed under: Pseudomonadaceae bacterium
Lineage: Bacteria; Pseudomonadati; Pseudomonadota; Gammaproteobacteria; Pseudomonadales; Pseudomonadaceae
Description: partial RNase P RNA component class A
Rfam family: Bacterial RNase P class A
About the family: Ribonuclease P (RNase P) is a ubiquitous endoribonuclease, found in archaea, bacteria and eukarya as well as chloroplasts and mitochondria. Its best characterised activity is the generation of mature 5'-ends of tRNAs by cleaving the 5'-leader elements of precursor-tRNAs.
Source: RNAcentral